UAUAUCCUUAAUUUUCUUAUGUUGGUUCUCCAUGAUUUUGCUUCUAAAUAAGGAUAUACGUACUUUUGUUAUCUAACCAAAAAUGAUUAUAUAUAAUUGUUACUUAUAUUGCCAUGAUGUUGAUUGUUAUCAGAAUGCAAAAAUUAGCUCAGGAACAAAAUGACAAGAUUGAAAAAGUGAACCAUGAAAGAAAAUUUCAUUAAGUAAGUAGCAUCCCCGUAAUUCAUACUAUAAUAAUAGGGUAGAAGUCAAUUAGCAUCCCUGUAUUUAGUAUUACAGGUAGAAGUUGAGCACAAGGAGAAGGAAGAUUCUGAGGAAGUAUAUGAACAAGAACUUGGGGAUGAAUCUGAUGAUAAGGGAGAUAAACCUAGCGUUUGUAUUCAGUGACCUUUCUUAUACAUAAAUCUAAUUUUCUGCAUGUCUUGUUGUUUUCCAUUUGAGCUAAGCGAGACUAACACUUUUUUAUUUUGUUGUCAAAUUCUGUUAGAGGAAAAGGCACUCAAGGUAUUAUUGAGAUUGAAAAUUCUAACUUGCUCAAGCCAAAGACCUUGAAAGCUAGUGAUAUUGAUGGAAGAGAUAGAGAAACAAAAGGCUCACGAACGAUUCAUGAGGCUUCAAGAACAAGAAAAAUGCACUUCGAUAAUUGAUACAAGAAAUUCAUACUCACGGCUUGAAUUGGAUGAAGUAAGAGUAGUGGACUGAAUUUUUAGCUUGGUACAUAUGGUAGACACACCUAAAUAUGAUCUUGUUACUUUUGUAAAUGGCUAACAUAUGGGAAUGCCCAUAACCUUUUUUGUGUAAAUGUUUUGUUCAUAGUCAUUAUGCUUAUAUGAGGCAAUAGAUGUAAGGGGAUAGACUUUAGUUUUGAUUUUGGAAUAGACCACAAAUAGGAAAUUUUAGUUGGCUAUAUUUGGAUUGGAACUAUGUAAUUGUUGUUGAUAUU
Molecule: long non-coding RNA, 943 nt
Organism: Cucumis melo (muskmelon)
Lineage: Eukaryota; Viridiplantae; Streptophyta; Magnoliopsida; Cucurbitales; Cucurbitaceae
Exons: 3
Source: RefSeq, a predicted model, not a curated record